UGGGGCAUAUUGGACAAUGGGCGAAAGCCUGAUCCAGCCAUGCCGCGUGUGUGAAGAAGGUCUUCGGAUUGUAAAGCACUUUAAGUUGGGAGGAAGGGCAUUAACCUAAUACGUUAGUGUUUUGACGUUACCGACAGAAUAAGCACCGGCUAACUCUGUGCCAGCAGCCGCGGUAAUACAGAGGGUGCAAGCGUUAAUCGGAAUUACUGGGCGUAAAGCGCGCGUAGGUGGUCUGUUAAGUUGGAUGUGAAAUCCCCGGGCUCAACCUGGGAACUGCAUUCAAAACUGACUGACUAGAGUAUGGUAGAGGGUGGUGGAAUUUCCUGUGUAGCGGUGAAAUGCGUAGAUAUAGGAAGGAACACCAGUGGCGAAGGCGACCACCUGGACUAAUACUGACACUGAGGUGCGAAAGCGUGGGGAGCAAACA
Molecule: ribosomal RNA, 427 nt
Filed under: uncultured bacterium
Lineage: Bacteria
Description: partial 16S ribosomal RNA
Rfam family: Bacterial small subunit ribosomal RNA
Source: RNAcentral